This 700-nucleotide unclassified non-coding RNA is filed under the name Cantharellus anzutake. Its description in RNAcentral is "partial contains 5.8S rRNA, ITS2 and 28S RNA". The stretch from base 587 to 700 matches the Rfam family "Eukaryotic large subunit ribosomal RNA", at positions 1 to 114 of the family's 3401-position model. Lineage: Eukaryota; Fungi; Basidiomycota; Agaricomycetes; Cantharellales; Hydnaceae. The record is from RNAcentral.
CCCCUGUUCUUGACUGAUUAGGUCUAUAACAUCAAGCUGAGUUUUCCAAUGGGUUUUUAAAUAACUCUCAACAAUGGAUCUCUAGGCUCUUGCAUCGAUGAAGAACGCAGUGAACUGCGAUAACUGGUGUGAGUUGCAUGGCACUUCUAAUCUAACACCAAGCGAAUCAUCGAGUCUUUGAACGCAAACGGCACCCUUCCAGUCCAUUCCAAAGCGGUGGCGGAGGAUGAAGACAAGGGUAUCUCUGGCUGAGGGUAAUGAGAACUGAUCCAGUGUAACCGUUGGUUAGCUGGGGAUUGGGCUUGCUUGGGGCAGUUGCUCUGGCUUGCCUCAAAAUCAAGCGUUGUGUGGAUUGGACUUUCAAGCAUGCAUUGGGGACGCAGGCUCUGCGCUAUGGCAAGCCCUUGACCGUCAUAGGUGCUUUGAUUGGGGUUUUCAGUCUAGCCAACAAGGCUGGGUUGAAGGACUUUGGGGCUGCAUUGGGGGCGCAAGGGCAGCUCUGUUCGUGGCGUCCGAUGACCGUCAUGAUGCAUGCGUGAUUGGACUUCAACUAGCAAUUUAUCAUUAUCAUCAUCAUUACUAUGGGUUACCUCAGGUCAGAGAAGACUACCCGCUGGACUUAAGCAUAUCACUAAGCGGAGGAAAAGAAACUAACUAGGAUUCCCCCAGUAACUGCGAGUGAAGAGGGAAGAGCUCAUCA